UACGAAGGGGGCUAGCGUUGCUCGGAAUGACUGGGCGUAAAGGGCGCGUAGGCGGAUAUGACAGUCAGACGUGAAAUUCCUGGGCUCAACCUGGGGACUGCGUUUGAGAUGUGAUGUCUAGAGUGAGGAAGAGGGUUGUGGAAUUCCCAGUGUAGAGGUGAAAUUCGUAGAUAUUGGGAAGAACACCGGUGGCGAAGGCGGCAACCUGGUCCUUUACUGACGCUGAGGCGCGAAAGCGUGGGGAGCAAACAGG
Molecule: ribosomal RNA, 253 nt
Filed under: uncultured bacterium
Lineage: Bacteria
Description: partial 16S ribosomal RNA
Rfam family: Bacterial small subunit ribosomal RNA
Source: RNAcentral